Molecule: unclassified non-coding RNA, 7035 nt
Filed under: Leishmania donovani
Lineage: Eukaryota; Euglenozoa; Kinetoplastea; Trypanosomatida; Trypanosomatidae
Description: gene:LdHU3.33.3170(CDS-product:mitogen-activated_ protein_kinase_putative)
Source: RNAcentral
CAGCGCUUUAGUCAUUAAGAGUACUACAAGUGGCUCAUAUUUUGCGCCGUUUUGAUUUCCUUUCGGCUGCUCUCAUCUUGUCUUACCUUUUCCGUCUUGGUGCUUCAGCGAUUCAAGCCGCGGCGCAACCUCCUCUCACGCCCUCUCACACGGUCUCUCCGCAGUCGCUUGGCUCGGGUGCCUUUCACCUUUUUCUUUUCGUUCCCUCUUCUAUUCGUUUGCUUGCCAUCACUACUUUAUCGCAUCACACGUCUGUGAGUAUGCUUGGAUGUGCUUGGGCGUGCUGAGUCGUUGACGCGUCGUUUUCCGCUGCGCCGCCUUGUUCUUUCGCUUUCUUUCAUAUUGGAUUGCUUAUCGCUUGCUGCAGGCAGUCCUCCGGUGGCUGCUGCUCUUUCUUUUCAGUGUCGACCCCCUCCCCAUUUUCUAUAUCUGUCGUUGCCUCGGUGCAUUUUCUGUGUAGGCUUGCGCUUGCGUGUGUCUGAGAGAGCGUUAGGCAAGCUGCACAAAGAACAGCAACAGCGCCGCGCAUUCCUCUGUACCUCGGCACGCAUUCUACGACAAACGCGCCCUCGUCAAGUGACGCAGAGAAGCGGAGAGGAGGGGAAGGGACUCGUUGACAGAUACACGUCGCGGUGGACAGGCACGCUGCGCACACGCACGCUCUCUUUCACACCCAACGAACACGCGCUAAUCGGUGUGAAAGCGCCAGGUCUCUGUCCUCGGUUGCAUCCUUCGUCGUACUGAGCUUGCCUCUGCACAGACAAGCACACAUACAUACCAACAUAGCUGCCCGUCUCCAUACACUUCUCACAUCUUGUUGUGCCUCUCAUUUCUCCUCGCACUUCCUAUUGAGCGCCUCCUCUCUUGACCGCAGAAAAGGACCGGCAAUAACUGAAACGAGGAAAGGCUUCCUUGUUUUUUUUUUUGUGCUCGGAUUGCUGAGAGUGAGUGUGCCCGCUUACACGCACGUGAACGUGCUUGCCUGUCUGCGCGCGGCUCUCUCGCCGUCUUUCUCCUCGUGUGUGUGUGUGUGCCCCGAGUGCUUCCGUGCGCGUGUGCGCGCUUGUCCCUCGAGUGUGGGGCAUCCUCAUCAUCAUCUUGUUUUUCUUCUCCGUUCUAUUUUCCUUCCCCCACCGUGGCGAUUGUUUCGUGGCUGUCGUGGUGUGCCGUUGGCUGCUUCGCGUGCAUUGGCUUGGUCGGUGCCGGGAAGCCUUCUCUUCUUUUCAAUCUCGACACUCCUUCAUUUUACGGCGUUUUUCACUAUUGCCUUCCUGUGUAGUUGUUUUGAAGCGCGGAGGCGAAAGGAAGCUGAUCAGCAACGCGAAGUGCAGAAACAGGGCUGUUCAUGGGAGUGAGGCAGCAACGACGAAUCGAAAAGAAGAAGGCUGAUCGCGCGCGCACGUGCGUUGCUCUUUGUAUGUUUGUUGUCACUCCCGUAUUGUGAGUUCUGUGACACAGCCCGGACUUACUCUUUCUGUGUCACCAUCCAUUUGCUUUUUCCAGUUUUUUUUUUUCGACCUUUCUCCUUUCCGAUUUUGUCGUUUCUCUACGCGACUCUAUGUAUCUACGCGUCCUGAUUCCAGCUGUGCCCUGCGUGUUUCUGCCCUGCGUUCGUGCGCGUGUGCUCAUUGUCGGACACCUCCUUCGACGUUUCGCUCCCCUUCGCACCUUUUCGCUUUCUCUUCUUGUCUCUUGAAUCAUCUCGUUGCUCUCUGUCGCACCUUGUCCGUGGCGGGCGGCCCUUUUCGCUUUUUUUUGUUUGCGUGCCGGAGCCGGCUGCCCGCGAACUUCUCAGCGCCUCAUUUCUCAGCGUGGGCCCACCUGUCCACUCCCCACCCGACUCUCCGUCUCUCUGUUGGCAUCUGUGAAACUCGCGAGUAGAGCAACCGCCACAAGCAAAAAACAAACACACACCCACACACACACCCACACACACACACACACCUACGCACUUACGCACACCGUAAAUCCAACAUAGAUUGGCGAGAAAACCUGCGAGCGCUAACUGCCGUGAAGGCCGCACGCCCUUUUUUCGUCUUGUGUGCUUUGCUGUGGUGUACAGGUCGUGCUAUCACCUCCUUUUCCUGGCCUGUGGUGCAGGAGCUGCUCUUGUCUGGGUUUGGCGACGCCUCUGCAACUGCCUGUGUACCGGCACGGAAUCUGCUGCCUUUCUCUCCUUUGGCGAUUCUUCUAACCGUGUGGUGGUGCGUCGCUGAGUCUAUGCCUUUCGCCCUCUUGAGCUGAGCUGUGACCUCUUCCUCUCUUUGUUCUGCCUCUUGUCGUCUUUCGCUCGGUUCGUUGUCGGUGUUGAAAGACACACGUGUGUCUGUCUCUGUCGGUGUCUGCCUGUGGCCGUCGCUCGAGUUCUUUGCUCUUGUCGUUACUUCUUAUUUUGUUCUUUGCUUAACGCUUGACACAGGUGCUUGUUUUUGCUUCCUUUGAACGCCCUCUUCCCUGCGCUGUUUCUCUUUCUCUCCACCCCGCUGCAAGCGUGCGUGCUGGCGUGUGCCCCGGUGGCGUACGUACAACUCGGGUGGCACCGCCUGCAGCGUUUCGGACAAGAGGUUUAGUGAGGCAGCCCUUCUUGCAUCAUUUUUUUUUAUUGUCGUGUGGCUUCCCUGCGCUUCCUCGAGCAUCAUGCAUCUGUUAGCCGGCCGUUACAUUUUGGUGAAGCAGAUCGGCAAGGGCGGCUUUGGCGCUGUGGAGGAGUAUACGGACGCCAUCACAAAGGAUAAUGUCGCCAUCAAAACGAUCCCUAGCCGGUACGUAAAUCAAGAGAGCCGCCGGCUCGUGCGAGAGAUCGACAUUAUGUGCUUCCUGCACGAGGCUCACCCGCAUGUCAUCGGAUACUUCAGCAUCUUUGCCACCAAAGGCACCGCCAUACCGCACCACAACGACUCCAACGCGUUCGAUGACCCGCUCAUGAGCGUUGCACAGACGGCAGAGAACACAGCCUUUGAAUUGAACGUGCUGGGCGAGCAUUACGCAGGCCUGAACGAGGAUGAGCGGCUGCGCCUGCAUCACGAGGAGCUGAUGGCGUUUGUGGCGAAGCUAACCAAAACAGACGAGUUCAACGUUCACAUUGUCAUGCCGCUCAUGAAGGGGGACCUCUUCUACUUUAUCCGACUGCUCUCGUCGCAGUCGAGUGUUCAGCGCCUAGGGGUGACGCAUCACUUCUUAGCUCAGGUGGCCGUUGUGUUCGCCUUUCAGAUAUGCUUUGGCCUCGACUACCUGCACCAGUGCUCCAUCAUCCACCGCGACAUGAAGCCAGACAACGUGCUGGUGCGCCUCGACAUCACCAACCCGUACAUGUCCACCGCGCUGAUCGCAGACAUGGGUCUCGCACGGGACGCCCAGCAUAGCGACACCAUCUACAUCUGCACUCGGUAUUACCGGCCACCAGAGGUCAUCACCAGCGUGUCAGGCGGGUCGCCGCGGAUCGACAUCUGGUCCUUGGGCUGCAUCUUUUACGAAAUGUGCACCGGGCAGACGCUCUUCACCAUGCGGACGGCGCUGAAUGAGCGCGGCGAGUGGGACGGCGCCAAGGCGAGCCUGCAGCUCGAGGUAGUUCUCAACACCAUUGGCACCCCCGCUGCCGAGGAUAUUGAGCGCUAUAUGCCUAGCGGAAACGCAAAGCUGUACUUGCAGCGCAGUGCCGCACGCCCGUCGCAGCUUCGACAGCUGAUCGAGCAGAACUGGAUUCUGCACACAAGCGAUGACGAAAAGGAGAAGUGGAUCGACCUCAUCACUCGCUGCGUUGCCUUCUUCCCCGAGCAGCGGCCAACGGCCCAGCAGCUCUGCCAACACCAGUUGUUCCGCAACUACAAUGUGUUCUACGGCUCCAAUGUGAAGCAGUACGCGCCAACGCCGUACACGUCAUCCUACUGCGGCUCUUCUGACAGCACCCGCGCGGAGAACAAGGCAGCCAUUUUGGCUCUUGUGCAGCGCGCUCUGCGCAAAACGAUGCCGCCACUGAACGAGGAGAGUAGCGACGAGGAGUCUAGCUCGCUGAACAGCAGCAGCGGCAGCGCCAGCAGCGGCGAUAACGGGAGCGACGACGAGAGAGCUACCGCGACACAGCCAACCUCCAUCAACGACUACGUGUCUGCCGCCCGCCGCUGCUCGACCUCGCUGCCGCGCGACAGCCUUCAGCAGCCCAGUGGCAGUCACGAGAACGAAGAGUCGGGCUCCGUAGCAGAGCCGUUCUCAGCCCUUGACUCAACAAGUACGAGUGGCGCACCAGCCGCACCACCGCCAGCGCGGCAGCGCCAGGGUUACGCCUUGCAGCCGUUUGACAAUAGCACCUCGAAAGACUACUGCAACUCUUUCCUCGACGACGAUGACGAGGGAGACGUUGAGCGCAACCGCGAGCGGGCACGUGACACCGAGGACGAAGAGUGCUUGCCGGUUUUUCAGCAGCAGCGCCCCAGUGCUUUCAUGGCGCACUAUAGUCCUGGCAGUGCCUUCCGCCAUAGUCUUGCUUCGCUGCCAGACGGCCCCCCUGCGGCUGCUGCAUCUGCCACUGCGGCGCCGGCUGCGCAGGCGCAGCCGGAAAAGCGCUUCGCGCACUCUUAUAGCUCCGAGGAGAGUGGCCCAGUAGUGGAAGAUACGCCGCCGCUGGGACCGAGCGCCACAUUCCGCGACCGAAUUACGCGGCGUCGGUCGAGCGCCGCCCAAGAGGAGGAAGAUCCCAAGCUGGAGUCGAUGAUGCCGAGCGCGUUCAACCUGGACAACUACCGCGCCGGCAAAGCUCUUGACGUAACAAUGAACGAGGAGCCAUGCAUCCCUGAAAGCGGAUCGCCGCAGGCAAUGGAGUCUAUGCCCGCCGAUGACGUCGCGCGACUGCUGGCGGCGUACAACAUGCCCUUGGAGGGGAGCAACUACCACGCCAUGCUAAGCCGUGCGCAGUCCGUGCCCCCCUCCGCCAUGCCCAGCGAUCCGUAUCAUUUCAUUUCUCAGUGCCCCAUUGGUGGCGGUGUGGAGGCGGCGAUGCUACCGCAGCAGCAGUCCUUCCACACUGCUGGAUCGCCGAGCGAGGCGAAUGGCGAGCCGCGCGGCGGCAACGAUGGGCAGUGUGGCGCGGACUCUGAAGUCUGCAGCUGGGCAGUGGCGCCGCCGGCGUCGACAGUCCCACCUGGCAACGGUGCCGCUGUGGAGGCGGGCUCCGAUGACCAGUACGACUACUUGGCCGGCACAGACUACUACAUUGGCCCUACGCCGAGCAACGUGGCGCAGGCGGCGGCCGCUCGCCAGCCAGCGGAGAAGCAUGGCAGCUCGCCAUACUCCCUCAAGGAGGCGGAUGACAUGCGACCUGAGCAAGCGCAGCUGCGCACGCUUUCGCACGCGUCACCCUCGCCAACCUAUCUGCCCAGCCCACAGCCCUCUGAGACGUCCCUUUUUCACCAGCCGCCGCCGCCGCCGCAUGCUCUCCAUGAGCAGAGCGUGGCCGGAUUUCCGCCCAUAGCAGAUGCAGAGCUACGUCAGCGCUACAUGUCGUACCGGCACACGCCGCGAAGCAUCCAGGCGGCGACGUCGUCCGUGCUGGAGGAGCUGGGCGGCUGUACGCACGACGCCGAGCGGUCAAGUGAGCUGCGCCAGCUGCUCAACUACUACACUUCUCUCGAGGUCAAGACCUUGUACGCGAUAUGAGGGCGGGCCGCGAUGCAUCGAGGAGGAGCUGCCGAAGGUGGGCAGGGGAGGAGGCCAGGCGUAUCGGCUCCAAGCGUCUUGCUAUUUUUCCUUUGCUUUGCUUCUUUUUCUUUGCUUUCAGGUUUUGCGUUUCCCAUUCUUACACCCCGGUGAGGAGAGACUUGGUGACGCACACGGGGGCAGCGCACCGCAGGUGCGAGUACAGCACCUCAGGCGGGCCUAGGUGUGCGUGUGUGCGGCGCUCUCCGUCACUGUUGCGAUUCAAACAAAGUGCUCGUCUUCGUUGGACUCUUUGCUGCACUGCUGUUCCUGUCUCUCUGCCGCCUUCUCCUGCUCUCUCCGUUGCGUGCUCACUCCACGCGCCGAGGCUGCCAUCCACUCGCUAGCCGACGGGCCUGCCUUUCCUCGUUGUUUUUGCUGCAUGUGAUGGUACCCAUAGAACCAAGUAACUUCUCCCUCUUUCACAUGUGCCGCAGGCGUGCAUGGAUGAGUGCCUGCCUUCCUCAUGACUCUGCUUUUACGUGAGCGUGUAGGCUUCGUGUGGCUAGAUGGCGGCGCUUCGUUCUUCCCUGAGUAUGCUCAUCUCUUUCUGUCGGGAUUUCUUGUCUCUACUGGUGCCCCUUGCUGACAGGCCGGCGGGCGGGGGCACCCUUCACAGUGGGCGGUAUCUCAAGGGUCCAAUGCACCCCUCCCCCCUCCCCUCGCUUGAGCCGUUGACUUGGGAGAGUGAGGGAGAGAGAAGAAGCGCGGGGCUGGAGGAUGGACAGUGACAGGGAGCAGAUGCCACUGCGCCCUCUUGUUGCUCACCAUUUUGUUUUUCUUCGCUCCUCUUGCUCCUCCUAGUGCGUGUGUCAUCGUAUUCAGGGAAGCGGGGCGGCGCCCGUUGGGCGGUGAGCGUGCCGCGGAUGACCCGCCGGGUGCGGGAAACACAGGUGAGUAUGCAUUCAUAGAGUCCGGGGCUCCUUUUGCUUCCCUCUCACGGCAGUGUUUUGGCACUUCUUCGUGGGCGUGUGUGCGCGUCGGUGCGCGGACACCGAGGCGAUCGGUGCGGUCGGUGGCGUUCUCCUUCCGCCAUGAGACCAGGGAGACAUGUGAAGAGACAAACAAAAAGAGAGGGCGACGCACACAGCGGCAUGUCAGCGCCGCCACGCGCACUCGCCGCGCUUUCGCAUUGGAAGGGGGUAUCGCGAGGAGCGCGUGUGGUGGAGCGCUUUGCUUUAGUGAGCUCGCCACUUCUCUCUCUUUCCACGUUGGUGGCAUGGAGGUCGAGAGGAGAGGGGGAGGACUGCCGUUGCUCUGCCCUCCGGCGCGCACGCCGACGAAAGAAGGCCCUCUCGCGUAUUCCGCUCAUUCGCCCAGGUGGAGGACAGCCGUGGCCACGACUUG